This 1542-nucleotide long non-coding RNA is filed under the name Homo sapiens (human). RNAcentral's name for it is "HSALNT0034604". The record is from RNAcentral. Lineage: Eukaryota; Metazoa; Chordata; Mammalia; Primates; Hominidae.
UAGCCAUGCUACCAGCCUCCCUGUUUCUCCAGUUUGCAGACAGAAUAUGGUGGGACUUCUCAACCUCCAUAAUUGGGAAAGGAACUAAAAUAAUUCUGAGUACUAGCAAGGACUAAGAUGAAGUUCAAUGUUAUGACUGCAAAGUGAAAUGAUCAGAAGUUUCAUGGCCAUGAGUACUGCUGCCUGGCCCGGGCAUGAGAAAUGAGUUUGCUCUAGACUGCAGAUUGUGAAGACGAGCUUUGCAAAAAUCUAACAUCUAGUGCAUUCUGACUAUGGAGAGGAUAUAAUUGAUGUAAGACUCCAAGAGAUUGCUGGUGAAUAGAUCUGUGGUUAGAUUUUAAACGAUGGAUUUAGAAAACAAUUCAAUGAGGUUAAAAUUAAUUUUAGUAAAUGUGAGGGAUAAGAGAAAGGAAGGCUGAGAUAAGCUGUUUUAUAAGAAAUAGUUAUGCUGAACAGAUCCAAGUUUUGCUGAGGUGAAGCAGAAACAAUAUGGCGAUUAGAAAGAACAGCGAGGUCAAGAUGUUACUGCAUUUUCAACCUGGGUAACUACGAGGUCAAUAUGUGAAUAAGUUAACAAUGUAUUGCUGAAGAAAUUAUGAAUAGAAUGGAGAGGAAACUGGGAAAGUAUAGAGUGUGGUUAUUUACUACAUGUUUUAGGUCACCAGUUAAAAUAAAUAAAGUUGACCUAGGUUUAAAAAGAAGGGAAAAUGUUAAACAAGGAUCAUUGUUGAGUAAUUGGAAUUAAGAGUUCACACAAAAAGCAGGCUGUCUCUUAAUCCUAGGGCAUGAAGAGCAGGGGAUAAAAGGAUGGUCUCUGUCAGAUAUUUCCAAGAAAAAGCAUUGUCAAUUUUAGGAUGUUUGCGUUUGGUAAAUGUAGAAAGCUAUCAUCCAUAGAUGCUAACACUGUUUUGGCAUAUAACAGAUUCUCAAAAUUUGUUAUUAUGUUAGUGAAAAGUUUAUAUAUUCAUAAGUAAGAAAUUUUCAAGAUUAACUAUAUCUAAUUUCGGUUUUCCUCUUCACCAUAUACACAGUCCCAUUGAAAGGAAACAUUGAGUAAUACAGAAAUUAGAAUUUAGGCUUCACAAAUUUUAGAAUUAAUUACACUGAUUUUCACAAUUUUACUGGUAAUAAUUGUAUCCUCACAUUAAUCCUGGUGGUACUGGGGUUCAUCAUCUUUAAACAUUAGGGGAUACCAUCUUUCUCAUGAAUCUAAAAAGUUCGUGGGAUUAUACUGAAAUGAGAGAAGGUCCCUUAUCAUCCUCACAGGGCAUGCGACAAGGAUGUGGCUUGCUUCUUUGGUGCCCCACUGCUCAAACUCCUUGGGGGAGCAUGCAGGCAGGUGAGUCAUGGGGAAUGUUACUAGGCUCCGACCCCAUGGCAGCAUCUAGAGGUGAAAUUUUAUAACUCCAGAAGCCCAAGUGAGCCUGUGUUACAGUGCACUCUUUCAGCUUAUCCGUCUGCACGUGGCUUGUGUUAAUCAGCUUGAUGACACCUUCUGCCUUAUUGCAAGAUCGGAGGGUUUUCUGUAUCCCAGGUUCUUGC